Molecule: long non-coding RNA, 2552 nt
Organism: Daucus carota subsp. sativus
Lineage: Eukaryota; Viridiplantae; Streptophyta; Magnoliopsida; Apiales; Apiaceae
Exons: 3
Source: RefSeq, a predicted model, not a curated record
GCUCUGUAUUUUAUUAUCAGAAGACGCGGUGACGAGGAAAACAUUAGGGUUCGAAAACUAGAUAAAGGCCUACAUCACAUCUGGUUGGAAAUCACAAGUUGAGUUUUGAGCCAAGGAAAAGAAAUACUCUCAGCCAGUAUUUCUUUUUCUUUGUUCACUACCUCCCUCCUUUCAGAUCUCAACCCUGUGUGUAAUAUACGCCAAAUCUUCAUAUAUAUUUUAACAGGAGCAUGAUGAAGAAAUCAGGGAUCUUUGUUGCAGCUGCAGCCUCCGUCACUGCUAUUUCAUCUGCCGUUUAUCACAACCCCAAUUCCCAGAUUCACUUUUCAUCUCCUCAGGAUGAUGUUUCUGGGAGGAAUGGGGGAAAUUCAUCGAAGGGCGGUGCUGCCUUUGCUCCAAGAUUCGAUGGUUUGAGGUUUAUCGAAACUUUGAUCACUGGUCACCGGUGAAUUGAUUGAAUUGCAUUUGUUGUUUGAUUGCAGCAAUGUGUUCUCAUUUUUGAUCUGGGGAAACAAUUGGUGUUUCUUGAUUGUAUCGUUUAGUUUCGGAGAUCGUUGUUUCGGAAUUAGGGGUUGAGUUGUAGCUGUAACAUUACUUAUCUAAGGCUAUUAGACAAUCUGAGUUUAUCAUAAAUUUUGGUGCUCGAUGUUGUGCUUAUAAAUUUCUUAUUAUUGAAUCUCAUCCUGAAAUCCAUAGACAUUUGUGAAUUCUGCCAAAACCUUAAGGUUUCACAAGAGGUUGCCAUGUAACAUGGUAUUUAUGUUGUGCCUAUGCAUUAUUGGUGUGGUUUGAGUUCCCUCCUAGCGAAUCUCAUCCUGAAAUUUAUUUACUUUAGUGAAUUCUGCCAACACCUUAAGGUUUCACGAGAGGUUGUCAUGUAACAUGAUAUUAUAGGACACAAGGUCCGGACUGUUAGUCAUUUAACAUGUUAUCAUCAUACAAACAAUAAGACAAGACACGUGUUUUUUUUAAUUCACACCUCUUCUGCAAAUUAGAACUUGAUGCCUCUGGCUACUCAAUUAUUCUUUAAAUAAAAAAUCAUCGACUAUUCAGAGUCUUGAGUGAAAAUUAGGGAGGCACUGCACUUUGAAAAUUGCAGGGUUGCAUAGCUACUGAUUAUCAACAUUAACAAGACUUUAAGGACAUAGUUAUUCAUCUAACAAUCUCCUUCUUGAAAACCUUACCUUUUUUCUUUAUUUGUCCAAACAAGCAUAUGUCACAUUACUUCGGUGUAAACUCAAUUUUAUGAUUCAUAAUCACUUUGAUGUACAAUGAUUUUUCUUUCACUUCAAUUUUGUGUCUUGAUUUGUCCAAACAAGCAUAUGUCACAUUCCUUCUGUGUAAAUUCAACUUUAUGAUUCAUUAUCACUUUGAUGUACAAUGAUAUUUCCUUCACUUUAAUUUUGUGUCUUGAUUUGUCCAAUCAAGCAUGCCACCAGCAUGAAGUGUUUGCUCAACCUUACAAUGCAUUAUCACUUUAUUAUACAAUUGAUUACUCUACCUUUCACUUUAACAUGAAUGCCUUUGUUUCCUGUCAUGUACAAACCAGCAUCAAAUAGGGAGUCAACUGUACUAUUUAUUAUCACUUCAAAGUUUGACAUGAAUUGAUUGGUCUUCACUUCAAUGUUGAAUAAUGUUAGUGUAUAACACAAGUAGUGAAUUAGAGAAGAAUUAGGCUAUGUUUCUGAUAAUUUUGUAUGAAUAAGACAGAGUAGUUAUAAGAAUCUUUUUCUUUGCUUGUCAGACCUGAAUUAAGAAAAAUAGAAAAUGUGCACAUAUUUCAGUUAGUUUGUAAUCUGGCUAGCCAAAAAAAAUAAUGUUAGUAUCGCAACAUGUAAUUAUUAUUUUACAUUAUUAUUUUCAGUUUUGUAUGUUUAGUAUUUCAUCUAUUUGCCUAUUAAAUGUGUAUAGUGAGAAUGAUACUGUUAGAUCAGGAUGUUUCCUUCAAGUAAAAGUCUUUAAAGCUUAGCAAAUGGAUGGACUUGCCAAGACUGGCAUUUUCUUGAAAGAGAACUUGGUAGGAAGAAAAGGGUUCCUGCUGCUGAAGAAGGGAACUGCCUAGCACCUAGUGGCUGGAAGCAUCUAAUUUUUGAUUUUAUCAUCUGCAUGAUUGGUAUACAGUUUAUCUGAUAGACGAGUUAUGUUAAGGAAUUGCUUGAAAGGGGCUGGCUAGCUGCUACAUGAACAAAGUUGUACAUAUGCAAGAUUUCCCUGCGGUUUUGCCUUUAUGGCUUAUAGACCUGCCCAGAAACCUUCAAGCUACUAGAGCUUCUAACAAACUGUCUAGAGUGUGUCUAUAGUGUCUUGGACUGCUUUAACCCUGCUCCUCCAGUCCAAAUGUGUUAAGCUGUGGAACACUUCCCGCUACCGGCUGCCAUCCAAACAAAAGAUGUAUGACAAUAUUAUUAGCAGAUCGAUUAAGAAGAAUUAAUUACUGGUGUUAUUUUAGGUGCACUCGAGAUAAGUUGACAACCAUCCUGUGGCGUUGGAGGAACUCAGGUUUAGAACUUGUAUAUUUCUCGCUAUAGAACUUAUUUCGCUAAGCUCAAGGC